UCCGAGCAAACUGUAUGGGAAGAGGGGCUGAAGAAGACCAUUGAAUGGUACACUCAGAAUCCCGAAUGGUGGGGCGAUGUGUCUGGUGCAUUGCUUCCUCACCCUAGAAUGCUGAUGAUGCCUGGUGGGAGACACUUCGAUUCUGAAGAGGGAAAAGGUACAUCAUUUGCAAGUGGACCUAAUCAGACCCGAAUGGUGGUUCCAACCUUCAAAACUAGUAGCAGCACGCAAAAACCAGCCUUGAAGUUCUUGAUCUAUGGCAGGACUGGCUGGAUUGGAGGUCUGCUUGGUCAGUUAUGUGAGAAACAAGGUAUUCCCUUUGAAUAUGGAAGAGGACGAUUGGAAGAUCGUUCAUCCCUUAUGGCAGAUAUUCAGAAUAUAAAGCCAACCCAUGUUUUUAAUGCUGCUGGUGUGACUGGUAGGCCCAAUGUUGAUUGGUGUGAAUCUCACAAAACAGAAACAAUUCGCACCAAUGUGGCUGGAACCUUGACCUUAGCAGAUGUUUGCAGAGAACAUGGGCUUUUGAUGAUGAAUUUUGCUACAGGGUGUAUAUUCGAGUACGAUGCAGGACAUCCUGAGGGCUCCGGCAUUGGGUAUAAAGAGGAAGACAAACCCAAUUUCACUGGUUCCUUCUAUUCAAAAACCA
RNAcentral lists this long non-coding RNA (646 nucleotides) under Gossypium barbadense (sea-island cotton). Its description in RNAcentral is "long non-coding RNA (GBAR_LNC013173)". Lineage: Eukaryota; Viridiplantae; Streptophyta; Magnoliopsida; Malvales; Malvaceae. The record is from RNAcentral.